AGCGCGUUAACAAAGUGGCUAUGUAGCGGAUUGCAAAUCCGUGUAGUCCGGUUCAAUUCCGGAACGCGCUU
This is a transfer RNA of 71 nucleotides. It matches the Rfam family "tRNA". Rfam says of the family: Transfer RNA (tRNA) molecules are approximately 80 nucleotides in length. Their secondary structure includes four short double-helical elements and three loops (D, anti-codon, and T loops). Further hydrogen bonds mediate the characteristic L-shaped molecular structure. tRNAs have two regions of fundamental functional importance: the anti-codon, which is responsible for specific mRNA codon recognition, and the 3' end, to which the tRNAs corresponding amino acid is attached (by aminoacyl-tRNA synthetases). tRNAs cope with the degeneracy of the genetic code in two manners: having more than one tRNA (with a specific anti-codon) for a particular amino acid; and 'wobble' base-pairing, i.e. permitting non-standard base-pairing at the 3rd anti-codon position.